This 291-nucleotide ribosomal RNA is filed under the name uncultured bacterium. RNAcentral's name for it is "partial 16S ribosomal RNA". It matches the Rfam family "Bacterial small subunit ribosomal RNA", at positions 505 to 796 of the family's 1533-position model. The record is from RNAcentral.
GUGUCAGCAGCCGCGGUAAUACGUAGGGGGCAAGCGUUGUCCGGAAUUAUUGGGCGUAAAGCGCGCGCAGGCGGUUCUUUAAGUCUGGUGUCUAAUCCUCGGGCUCAACCUGAGGGCGCACGGGAUACUGGGGAACUGGAGUGCAGGAGAGGGAAGUGGAAUUCCACGUGUAGCGGUGAAAUGCGUAGAGAUGUGGAGGAACACCAGUGGCGAAGGCGACUUCCUGGCCUGUAACUGACGCUGAGGCGCGAAAGCGUGGGGAGCAAACAGGAUUAGAUACCCUGGUAGUCC